Long non-coding RNA from Ornithodoros turicata, 1929 nucleotides. RefSeq lists it as uncharacterized. Lineage: Eukaryota; Metazoa; Arthropoda; Arachnida; Ixodida; Argasidae. The transcript has 5 exons. The record is from RefSeq and is a predicted model, not a curated record.
AGUCACAUAUUCAAGAUAGGAGAAGGUCAAGAUCGACCCUGGGAACGAGGCUACGUGCCGAUUGCGUUGGCAUAUAGUGGAUCACUGGCUAUUUUGUCCCCGUGCCGUUUGAGAAGCCUCGCUUGUUGUUGGAUUUAAGUGAGCCCAGUUUUAAUAUUAAACAGGGACCUACAAUUAAGUUAUGCAUGACUUACAACUGACCUUUCAUGGCAUCCCAUAUUGUAAACACAACUGUCAUCUGGAUGGAGUCAAGAACCCUCAUUGAGCUUUUUAACAGUGGCUCCCUGCCUGUGUUCCAAGCAUACUCAAGACACAUCUUACAUUCAGACGAAAUGCUUUUUUCACUCAAUGUCUUCUCUGAAAAGCAGUCCUUCCGAUGCUCGAAACCUGUUUUCUUUGUUACUCCAAGCCUUCACUGUCCUCGUGGUUGGUCUCUAUGAUGGAGACCAAGUGUGCUGAUCUUUGAUUUGAUGAAGUCUUCACCUCUGCAGAAGCAAUCUGCUACCAAAGUCUUUCUCUCACUUAACAGAAAUUUCUGUAUUUAGGGACUUCGACUCAAAUGUGAGUGUCAUUUUUGGAAAAUGUAGAAUAGCAUAUCCUUUGGAUUCGUUGUGUAGUCCACAUGUUGAUACUAAAGGAUAUGUUGAUAUGUGUCUUGCCUUCUUUCUCCCAUUGCCAAUCCUGUAUCAGUUAAGUUCCUGCUUUCUUUUGUUUGUUCUUUGAGACCACUGCUAUACUCAAGACACUCAGCAGGAUUAUCACUGUGUUUCACAUUCAUGGUAACAUGCUUGCUUUUCCUAAUGUUAGCAGUUAGGAGACCACCUACCGGAUGUAUCUGCAUCAGUAUAUCAAGUGUGCCUGAUCAUCGUCACUGAGGAGUCAUGCCAAGUAGGCAUAAUGCUUUUGCCUUGACCCUUUUGCAAGAGCCUGUCAUCAAUCUGCUGCAUAGCUUCCUCAGACGGUCGAUAUGAGUAUCCAGAAAUAAUUAAUUCCAAAAGCCUGAUAUGUAAAUGUAUUUCCAGGCGAUCUGAACACAAGCACCACUUCACUAGAGAGAACUGAUGUUCUGAGGCUGGAACAACAUAGAAGGGACAAUCACAUACAAGGCCUCAAGUUGCCUAAGAAAUUAACCAUGAAAGAUGGAAGUCACUGAAAAGGUUAGCCAGCUGUAGGACUCGAACCCACAUCUUCUGGAUUACCGAUUACCAAUCCAGAAGGUGUGGGUUCGAGUCCUACAGCCUGCUAACGUUUUCAGUGACUUCCAUAUUUCAUGCAGCAUUUUUACCACUUUCCCUUGUUGCUUUUUUGCAUCCUCCUCCUUUUCCAGCAUCAGAUGUCCAUAUUCUCUGUUACGAAGGAGAGGUGUUUUUUGUAAAAGCUUACCACAGUGUACCGAGGUACUGAACCUUACAAGUGUUCUAGGCCCAUAAUGGCGCGUGCCAUUCUUUAUAUGUGAAAACCUCAGCUCAGCCAACAAAGUCAUCCUAAGGGAGGCCGGAAUAUAUGCAAAGCAACACAAUUUUGCAUUUAUAUGAGUUUGCUACGCCCCAUAUUUCUGAGACAGAGUGAACGAGAUAAGGUGCAUCGUAUCAUGCACAGACAUGACCUCUCACUGCUGUAGGUCGGCCCACUCUGAUGUUCUGUUCUUUUUUCAUGACUAGUUUUUCUUUAGAUGACAUAGGUUCUGUGAUCGAUACACACUCAUCAUCAAUUCUUCUGAGUAUCCGAAGUGCGAACAAACAUUUUAACAAACUUUUAGCAAUUUUUCGAACACUGGUAAUGUGUAAUGGGUAGCGUAAACACUGGUGCGGCCCCUCUUCCUAGAGGAACCGCAUGUUAAAACGUGUGGCACAUAGAGAACAUAGAGAACAGAACAUCAGAGUGGGCCGACCUACAGCAGUGAGAGGUCAUGUCUGUGCAUGAUACGAU